RNAcentral lists this ribosomal RNA (784 nucleotides) under uncultured bacterium. RNAcentral's name for it is "bacterial SSU rRNA". It matches the Rfam family "Bacterial small subunit ribosomal RNA", at positions 73 to 848 of the family's 1533-position model. The record is from RNAcentral.
GGAGUAGCAAUACUCCCGCCGGCGACCGGCGCACGGGUGAGUAACACGUAUGAAACCUGCCCGUAGCAGGGGGGGAUAAGCGGAAGAAAUUCCGUCUAAUACCGCGUAACAACCCUUGGAGGCAUCUCCUCGGGUUUAAAGGAAGCGAUUCCGGCUACGGAUGGUCAUGCGUCGCAUUAGCUGGUUGGCGGGGUAACGGCCCACCAAGGCGACGAUGCGUAGGGGUUCUGAGAGGAAGGUCCCCCACACUGGUACUGAGACACGGACCAGACUCCUACGGGAGGCAGCAGUGAGGAAUAUUGGUCAAUGGCCGCAGGGCUGAACCAGCCAAGUCGCGUGAGGGAUGACGGUCCUAUGGAUUGUAAACCUCUUUUGUCAGGGAGCAAAGGGCGCCACGUGUGGCGCUUUGCGAGUACCUGAAGAAAAAGCAUCGGCUAACUCCGUGCCAGCAGCCGCGGUAAUACGGAGGAUGCGAGCGUUAUCCGGAUUUAUUGGGUUUAAAGGGUGCGCAGGCGGAAUGUCAAGUCAGCGGUAAAAUUUCGGGGCUCAACCCCGUCGUGCCGUUGAAACUGGCGUUCUUGAGUGAGCGAGAAGUAUGCGGAAUGCGUGGUGUAGCGGUGAAAUGCAUAGAUAUCACGCAGAACUCCGAUUGCGAAGGCAGCAUACCGGCGCCCGACUGACGCUGAGGCACGAAAGCGUGGGGAUCGAACAGGAUUAGAUACCCUGGUAGUCCACGCAGUAAACGAUGAAUGCUAGUUGUCCGGUUCUUUGGGACUGGGUGACA